AGAGUUUGAUCAUGGCUCAGGACGAACGCUGGCGGCGUGCUUAACGCAUGCAAGUCGAACGGAAAGGCCCCUUCGGGGGUACUCGAGUGGCGAAUGGGUGAGUAACACGUGGGUGAUCUGCCCUGCACUUUGGGAUAAGCCUGGGAAACUGGGUCUAAUACCGAAUAGGACCGCAUGCUUCGUGGUGUGUGGUGGAAAGCUUUUGCGGUGUGGGAUGGGCCCGCGGCCUAUCAGCUUGUUGGUGGGGUAAUGGCCUACCAAGGCGACGACGGGUAGCCGGCCUGAGAGGGUGUCCGGCCACACUGGGACUGAGAUACGGCCCAGACUCCUACGGGAGGCAGCAGUGGGGAAUAUUGCACAAUGGGCGCAAGCCUGAUGCAGCGACGCCGCGUGGGGGAUGACGGCCUUCGGGUUGUAAACCUCUUUCAGUAUCGGCGAAGCUCCAGGAUUUUUCUUGGGGUGACGGUAGGUACAGAAGAAGCACCGGCCAACUACGUGCCAGCAGCCGCGGUAAUACGUAGGGUGCGAGCGUUGUCCGGAAUUACUGGGCGUAAAGAGCUCGUAGGUGGUUUGUCACGUUGUCUGUGAAAACUCACAGCUUAACUGUGGGCGUGCGGGCGAUACGGGCAGACUGGAGUACUGUAGGGGAGACUGGAAUUCCUGGUGUAGCGGUGGAAUGCGCAGAUAUCAGGAGGAACACCGGUGGCGAAGGCGGGUCUCCGGGCAGUAACUGACGCUGAGGAGCGAAAGCGUGGGGAGCGAACAGGAUUAGAUACCCUGGUAGUCCAA
Molecule: ribosomal RNA, 789 nt
Filed under: uncultured bacterium
Lineage: Bacteria
Description: bacterial SSU rRNA
Rfam family: Bacterial small subunit ribosomal RNA
Source: RNAcentral